CGUAGGUGGCAAGCGUUGUCCGGAUUUAUUGGGCGUAAAGCGAGCGCAGGCGGUUUCUUAAGUCUGAUGUCGAAAGCCCCGGCUCAACCGGGGAGGGUCAUUGGAAACUGGGAGACUUGAGUGCAGAAGAGGAGAGUGGAAUUCCAUGUGUAGCGGUGAAAUGCGUAGAUAUAUGGAGGAACACCAGUGGCGAAGGCGGCUCUCUGGUCUGUAACUGACGCUGAGGCUCGAAAGCGUGGGGAGCAA
Molecule: ribosomal RNA, 246 nt
Filed under: uncultured bacterium
Lineage: Bacteria
Description: partial 16S ribosomal RNA
Rfam family: Bacterial small subunit ribosomal RNA
Source: RNAcentral